CCUACGGGUGGCAGCAGUGGGGAAUAUUGGACAAUGGGCGAAAGCCUGAUCCAGCCAUGCCGCGUGUGUGAAGAAGGCCUUCGGGUUGUAAAGCACUUUCAGUGGGGAAGAAAGCCUUGGGGCUAAUACCCUCGAGGAAGGACAUCACCCACAGAAGAAGCACCGGCUAACUCCGUGCCAGCAGCCGCGGUAAUACGGAGGGUGCGAGCGUUAAUCGGAAUUACUGGGCGUAAAGCGCGCGUAGGCGGUCUGAUAAGCCGGUUGUGAAAGCCCCGGGCUCAACCUGGGAACGGCAUCCGGAACUGUCAGGCUAGAGUGCAGGAGAGGAAGGUAGAAUUCCCGGUGUAGCGGUGAAAUGCGUAGAGAUCGGGAGGAAUACCAGUGGCGAAGGCGGCCUUCUGGAUUGACACUGACGCUGAGGUGCGAAAGCGUGGGUAGCAAACAGGAUUAGAUACCCUUGUAGUC
This 465-nucleotide ribosomal RNA is filed under the name Vreelandella stevensii. RNAcentral's name for it is "partial 16S ribosomal RNA". It matches the Rfam family "Bacterial small subunit ribosomal RNA", at positions 338 to 795 of the family's 1533-position model. Lineage: Bacteria; Pseudomonadati; Pseudomonadota; Gammaproteobacteria; Oceanospirillales; Halomonadaceae. The record is from RNAcentral.